Molecule: ribosomal RNA, 225 nt
Filed under: Staphylococcus aureus
Lineage: Bacteria; Bacillati; Bacillota; Bacilli; Caryophanales; Staphylococcaceae
Description: partial 23S ribosomal RNA
Rfam family: Bacterial large subunit ribosomal RNA
Source: RNAcentral
GACAUACCUCUGGUGUACCAGUUGUCGUGCCAACGGCAUAGCUGGGUAGCUAUGUGUGGACGGGAUAAGUGCUGAAAGCAUCUAAGCAUGAAGCCCCCCUCAAGAUGAGAUUUCCCAACUACGGUUAUAAGAUCCCUCAAAGAUGAUGAGGUUAAUAGGUUCGAGGAGGAAGCAUGGUGACAUGUGGAGCUGACGAAUACUAAUCGAUCGAAGACUUAAUCAAAA